CUCUCUCUCCCGCACUCGCGCAGCCCCUCGCCUCUUCCUCCCCCUCCUGCCCACUCGCUCGAUCCGCCGUCACCACCUCGGUCGCCGGCCGAUUCCGGCCGCUCCGGUGAGCUCCGGCUCCGCCCAACACACGCACGACUGCUCCUCGAUGAGCUCUACCACCUUCACCGCGCCGAUCUACUUUUCCUCGCCUCCUGUGGUCGCCCCUUCGAUUUCCCCCGCUAGGGUUUCAGUGGUGGAGGUGGACCUCGCCUCCGGCGACCGCCUGCUCGUUGCGCCGGUCAUCUCCGCCCCCGUCAAGGUCGCCCCUCGGAGCUGCUCCUGAUCCACCGGGGGAGGCGAGGAGCACCGACAGACGAGGACCGUCAUGGCCGGCGGACUGCUGGUCGUUGAUCCGGCGCUUCGGCCUCCCACAGCUUCUUCGACCACUACUCCCGACGAGGACCUGGCCGAGGGUGCUCAAGGGGCUCGGCCAAGUCGGAUGCCAGGUGGUGCGCGCAGCCGAGGAGCGCCAGCCGCUGGCGCUUGAUGUGGCGCUCCCCCCGUCGCUACCGCUCGUUCGCGGCUCCUCCCCCCCCCCACCCCAACGGAUCGCGACCGAGCCUUCCUUGUGCCAGCCCCUCGUGGCCAUGAAGGGUGGCUGAGCCAUCGGGAGCGACGGCGGCGGCCUGCUGCGGACGCUGCUGUGGCUCCCUCUUCUUCAUCGAUGGCUUCUACCUGUUUGUGUCGACGACAUGUACAUCCUGUCCUCCCCGUGCUUCUGCUUGCCCGGGACGCAACUCUUUGGUGUGCUCGAGAAGAUGUGCAAGAAGAAAAGGGCCACUGGAUUGUACAGGAGGAACGGGAUGCUGUUCUCUGCUACUCGACCUAGCCUUGCUGCUCGACCACACUCGACCUAGCCUUGCUGCUCGACCACACUCGACCUAGCCUUGCUGCUUGACCACAUUGCCCCUGAAAACAUGGUAAGGGCAAGGAUGGAUUUAUGCAAAUUCACGUCGUUGAUGCGGGAUCGCGCCGGCCCUCCCUUGUGCUAGCCAGCCAUCAGGAAGCUCCUGGUGGUGCUCCUGGAUGUGCUAUGCAUCACCUCAUCCUCGUGCUCAUCGGUGGGACGAUGCAAGGCGCAACUCCAAUGCAGCGGCGUGGAUGUGCGGUGUAGGAAGCGGUUCCUCGCCAGCUGGAUGGCGUUCAGGCGCAACCCCGGCGCCCACUGAGUACUGCCUCGGCUACAACCUCCCUCGGUGAGCUCCAUCUUCCUCCUGCUCUGCUUCGGCUACUGCAUGGGACAUGGCCAGGGCUACGAUGAUCAGUUAUGGCUGGUAUAGGCAUGCUCUCGAGCAAUUGUGGCACUUGUGGGUAUUAAUUUGGAUCCCCCUCAUUUCUUUGAGCCAUUUUGAUCACGUUCUUAUUUUAGUGGCUCUGUCCUUGGAUGGUCAUUUCUGAUGAGUGAUAACCAGGGCAGUUUCACCGUCGUAAGAACAUAUUGAUCUGGUGAUCCAUCGAGAAAGAAGAAACGAAAUACCUCACCUGGCUCCUCAGAGCUCAGACACUUUCGGCCGUCGGAUCGGUUUCCUGAUGCGAUUCUGGCUGCCGGAUCUCGCUCCGGAUUGAUCUCGGCCGUAAGAUCGAGCCCGAGCUCCUGUAGCCACAAAUAGUUACUCCUACGGUGAGAUAUCUCGUGCCACCACGUUUGAAUCAUGUGCCCCAUUGGUCGGAAGCCAUUCUUGCUAGGGCGAUGAUGAUUAGCCGUGGCUGAAAUAAGUGUGCCUUUGAGCAAUCGAGGCACCUAUGGGUAUCAAGUUGGAUCCUCCUCCUUGUCUCUAGAAUCCUUUUUGAUCCUUUGAUACUUAUUGUUCUGUCCUUGGAUGGUCAUUCUUGUUGAAUGAUAACCAGGGCAGCUCCACUGUAUAAACAGAUUAAUAUGGUGAAAGAGAUGAUGGGGGUAGAUUAUAUGAUCGAGGAAAGGCGAAUCUGAGCCCACUAUGCAUUGAACCCUGAACCCUUCUUAUUUGUAUUUAAAGGUGUUGCUUAUUUAUGCUCCAGUGUUUAUAGUUGUCUUAUGUAAAGAUUUCUUCUCUCUCA
Molecule: long non-coding RNA, 2079 nt
Organism: Triticum aestivum (bread wheat)
Lineage: Eukaryota; Viridiplantae; Streptophyta; Magnoliopsida; Poales; Poaceae
Exons: 4
Source: RefSeq, a predicted model, not a curated record